GACGAACGCUGGCGGCGUGCUUAACACAUGCAAGUCGAACGGAAAGGCCCUGCUUUUGUGGGGUGCUCGAGUGGCGAACGGGUGAGUAACACGUGAGUAACCUGCCCUUGACUUUGGGAUAACUUCAGGAAACUGGGGCUAAUACCGGAUAGGAGCUCCUGCUGCAUGGUGGGGGUUGGAAAGUUUCGGCGGUUGGGGAUGGACUCGCGGCUUAUCAGCUUGUUGGUGGGGUAGUGGCUUACCAAGGCUUUGACGGGUAGCCGGCCUGAGAGGGUGACCGGCCACAUUGGGACUGGGAUACGGCCCAGACUCCAACGGGAGGCAGCAGUGGGGAAUAUUGCACAAUGGGAGGAAGCCUGAUGCAGCAACGCCGCGUGCGGGAUGACGGCCUUCGGGUUGUAGACCGCUUUCGCCUGUGACGAAGCGUGAGUGACGGUAAUGGGUAAAGAAGCACCGGCUAACUACGUG
This 468-nucleotide ribosomal RNA is filed under the name uncultured bacterium. RNAcentral describes it as "partial 16S ribosomal RNA". It matches the Rfam family "Bacterial small subunit ribosomal RNA", at positions 28 to 507 of the family's 1533-position model. The record is from RNAcentral.